CAGCAGCCGCGGGAAUACGGAGGGUGCAAGCGUUAUCCGGAUUUCUUGGGUUUAAAGGGUCCGUAGGCGGAUCUGUAAGUCAGUGGUGAAAUCUCACAGCUUAACUGUGAAACUGCCAUUGAUACUGCAGGUCUUGAGUAAAUUUGAAGUGGCUGGAAUAAGUAGUGUAGCGGUGAAAUGCAUAGAUAUUACUUAGAACACCAAUUGCGAAGGCAGGUCACUAAGAUUUAACUGACGCUGAUGGACGAAAGCGUGGGGAGCGAACAGGAUUAGAUACCCGCGUAGUCCCUGUCUCUUAUAC
This 301-nucleotide ribosomal RNA is filed under the name uncultured bacterium. RNAcentral's name for it is "partial 16S ribosomal RNA". It matches the Rfam family "Bacterial small subunit ribosomal RNA", at positions 509 to 807 of the family's 1533-position model. The record is from RNAcentral.